CCUGGUUCCAUCUCAUUACAGGAGUUACUGUAUGUACAGCUUCAGAAAGGAGCACUGGCAGAAGGUACACAUCCUACUUAUGGAGCACUACAAACACUUAACAAUACGUUGUACAAACCUGACGUAACAUUGAAAGGUUCACUGCAGGAAACAAUUAAAUACAGUCGCUAAGACAGACAGUAGAAGAGCACAGACUGAUGUUAUUUCAUCCCGAAUCCUCCGUGUUCCAGGCAGCCCAAACCACCCUCAAUCAGCCCCCACUGCCUUGGUGAGAAGCUGCUGCAUCCCAAAGGAUUGGGAUCGCUCUGCAUGGGCUGGAGGUCAGCGGCACAGAGGGGGACACCACCAAACCCUUUCUAUCCUAGUUUGACUUUCUGGCCAACGUGAAGAACUGAAUCAAAUCAAAGCAGUGAAGCAAUGCUGUGCUGCACCUCGCGUGCCUAUAGGCGGCGUCGCAGCUGAAGGCCCAGCUCGUUGAGCAGUGUACGUUUUUGCACGUGUGGGACAACAACAGAGAGAGCUCGAGACUGGCCAGGCUGGUGGUGGGUCCGUUCUGUGCCUGGAACUGUACGGGAGGUGGUCCAUCUGUCCACUGCAAGAUAACAAACAGCAUGAAAAUCCUCCAGCCACGACCUGGGAAGGGGAGGAGCAGCAGCAAGGCCAGAAAAAGGAGCUGCCCACACACACAUUGACUACCUUGAGAUCAUUUACUGAUUUCAUGACAAGCUGAGCAUCAGGUUUGACUCUGUGUCAUGUGCAUGGAGCAGGGGGAACUGUGACUUGCACAAAUGACAGACCUCAAUUUAGAUGCUUCUGUUUGAGCCCAUUCUACAGUGCAGCUACAGUGUUUCCAGAGUGAAUGAAGCCUCUGGUUCUCACCCGUUUCAUGUUUUCCUCUCAAAUUUAUCAAAAUCUCCUGAACUAGGCAGAUUUUGUAGUUUUUAAUCCUCUUCCACCUCCACAUUUUUAAUCUAGCAUGGAUUACACAUAAGCCAGCAAUGGCAAGCAAAGUCAGCAGAGCAUACAGCACAGGGGGAUGGGCUGUGGGCAUCACCAACGUGGGCUGCACAGCACAUGUGGGUCUCAGGAUCCCUCUGCAGCCAAAGCAAUCAGCUUCUUCCUGGCAGCCUUUUUUUUCCCCUCUCAUAAAGGGAACGUUGGGAAAAGAUGUCAGGUUUCCCUGCAUCCCACAUUCACAUUUGGACGUUAUUUCAGUCUGAAAGAAUGGCUUAUCUUUC
This 1238-nucleotide long non-coding RNA is filed under the name Gallus gallus (chicken). Its description in RNAcentral is "long non-coding RNA NONGGAT005642". The record is from RNAcentral. Lineage: Eukaryota; Metazoa; Chordata; Aves; Galliformes; Phasianidae.